GUUUCCUUAACAUACAAUACAAGACCACUCUCCACUUCACUCCACUACAGGGAGAUACAACAAUGAUGUUGAGAACAACAGGAAGUGUGUUGGUGGUCUUCUGGUCUCUAACAGACAGUAACAAGAACACUCUCCACUUCACUCCCACUGCUCGUAUGUGCUGUCAAGUGGAUAUGAUUCAAACCUUAAUCAAGCCAGGAUCAUAUAUGGAACUUCCUUCAAUAACAAAUAACUUCACUGCAGUGAAAAUCAUCUUAAAUGAACAGAACUUAAGUUUGAUUGUUUUGUACCACAGGCAGAUAAAACAAUGGUGUUGAGAACAACAGGAAGUGUGUUGGUGGUCUUCUGGUCUCUAACAGCUGUCUCAUAUAUCUGUCCUGAAGACACCCAACUGUCCAAUAUAUCUAUCCUGAAGACACCCAACUGUCCAAUAUAUCUGUCCUGAAGACACCCAGCUGUCCAAUAUAUCUGUCCUGAAGACACCCAACUGUCCAAUAUAUCUGUCCUGAAGACACCCAGCUGUCCAAUAUAUCUGUCCUGAAGACACCCA
Molecule: long non-coding RNA, 550 nt
Organism: Esox lucius (northern pike)
Lineage: Eukaryota; Metazoa; Chordata; Actinopteri; Esociformes; Esocidae
Source: Ensembl